UCAGAGAAGUGUUCUUGCACCUCUCUCACUUUCUCUUUCUAGGGUUUCUCUCUCUUCGAGUAGAAGUCGCCGAUUCAAGCCGAUUCCGCGUUCCGCUCGAUGUUCGCUGGUUUGGAGACUCAAGGAAAGUCUUUGGCAUGUGGGGAGAAGGAUUCUUACUGAAUUUCUGAGGUCCUAUCACCAGGGGAAGCUAAGUUGCAGCUUUUGAUAAGUAUUUUGCUUAAGACUUCUCUAAUUUGAAGUUUAGUAUCGGAAUUUGAGUUGUUUUAGUUUCUUUGCUCCCAGCUGAAUUAGGAGUUUCCAGCAGCUAGAGAGGAGUUAGUUAGCUGUGAUUUAUCCACUUUAGACCAGGGAUAAGCUGCUUUGAAGCUUGAUAACGGUUUCCGAACCACCUUGAGCUAAAUUGGUGACCUUGGGGGACUGGUUUGAAAGGUGUUUCAACCAAGGCAAGGUUGCAAUCGACCGUUGGAUUAUCUUUGACUAACUUGUGAGAGCUUUUGGAGGUUAAACUUGAGCAGGUUUGAGACCUAGCGAGCUGAAUUUUGGGACUCAGUUGGGGCUGGAUCGAGCUUAGUGCUAGAGUCACCUACAGGAGAGGCUAGGGAUCGCGGCAAGGGAGUCGCGUCUAGCUAGACAUAGCUUGAUGUUUGCUAGUUGAUCACCUUCCUACUCGUGCCACGGCCGAGGGUGAUGUAUCCAUGUAUAGAGAGACUACCAUUGUACAUGUAUUUUUAGUAACCCUGUGAUGUAUAUGAGUAGUUUGAAUCGGGGAUUUUAGUUUUGAUUUUGCUCUUUGAUGUUGAGAUUUUUGGUUGUAUACUCCUUAUUCCUCUGAUGAUGGUAUUAUAGACUUAUACU
Molecule: long non-coding RNA, 858 nt
Organism: Ananas comosus (pineapple)
Lineage: Eukaryota; Viridiplantae; Streptophyta; Magnoliopsida; Poales; Bromeliaceae
Exons: 5
Source: RefSeq, a predicted model, not a curated record